GGGAGCCGGAUGAGCGAAGACGUUCACGUCCAGUUCUGCGAGAGGCUGGGGGGGAAACUCCCUCGGCCUACUUACCCCUAU
This is a non-coding RNA of Prosthecochloris sp. CIB 2401, 81 nucleotides long. NCBI's taxonomy places the organism in Bacteria, Pseudomonadati, Chlorobiota, Chlorobiia, Chlorobiales, Chlorobiaceae. The record is from Rfam.